GAUGAACGCUAGCUACAGGCUUAACACAUGCAAGUCGAGGGGCAGCAUGAACUUAGCUUGCUAAGUUUGAUGGCGACCGGCGCACGGGUGAGUAACACGUAUCCAACCUGCCGAUGACUCGGGGAUAGCCUUUCGAAAGAAAGAUUAAUACCCGAUGGCAUAGUUCUUCCGCAUGGUAGAACUAUUAAAGAAUUUCGGUCAUCGAUGGGGAUGCGUUCCGUUAGGUUGUUGGCGGGGUAACGGCCCACCAAGCCUUCGAUGGAUAGGGGUUCUGAGAGGAAGGUCCCCCACAUUGGAACUGAGACACGGUCCAAACUCCUACGGGAGGCAGCAGUGAGGAAUAUUGGUCAAUGGACGAGAGUCUGAACCAGCCAAGUAGCGUGAAGGAUGACUGCCCUAUGGGUUGUAAACUUCUUUUAUACGGGAAUAAAGUGAGGCACGUGUGCCUUUUUGUAUGUACCGUAUGAAUAAGGAUCGGCUAACUCCGUGCCAGCAGCCGCGGUAAUACGGAGGAUCCGAGCGUUAUCCGGAUUUAUUGGGUUUAAAGGGAGCGUAGGCGGACGCUUAAGUCAGUUGUGAAAGUUUGCGGCUCAACCGUAAAAUUGCAGUUGAUACUGGGUGUCUUGAGUACAGUAGAGGCAGGCGGAAUUCGUGGUGUAGCGGUGAAAUGCUUAGAUAUCACGAAGAACUCCGAUUGCGAAGGCAGCCUGCUGGACUGUAACUGACGCUGAUGCUCGAAAGUGUGGGUAUCAAACAGGAUUAGAUACCCUGGUAGUCCACACAGUAAACGAUGAAUACUCGCUGUUUGCGAUAUACAGUAAGCGGCCAAGCGAAAGCGUUAAGUAUUCCACCUGGGGAGUACGCCGGCAACGGUGAAACUCAAAGGAAUUGACGGGGGCCCGCACAAGCGGAGGAACAUGUGGUUUAAUUCGAUGAUACGCGAGGAACCUUACCCGGGCUUGAAUUGCAACUGAAUGAUGUGGAGACAUGUCAGCCGCAAGGCAGUUGUGAAGGUGCUGCAUGGUUGUCGUCAGCUCGUGCCGUGAGGUGUCGGCUUAAGUGCCAUAACGAGCGCAACCCUUAUCGAUAGUUACCAUCAGGUUAUGCUGGGGACUCUGUCGAGACUGCCGUCGUAAGAUGUGAGGAAGGUGGGGAUGACGUCAAAUCAGCACGGCCCUUACGUCCGGGGCUACACACGUGUUACAAUGGGGGGUACAGAAGGCAGCUACACGGCGACGUGAUGCUAAUCCCGAAAGCCUCUCUCAGUUCGGAUUGGAGUCUGCAACCCGACUCCAUGAAGCUGGAUUCGCUAGUAAUCGCGCUUCAGCCACGGCGCGGUAAAUACGUUUCCCGGGCCCU
This 1359-nucleotide ribosomal RNA is filed under the name uncultured bacterium. RNAcentral's name for it is "bacterial SSU rRNA". It matches the Rfam family "Bacterial small subunit ribosomal RNA", at positions 28 to 1382 of the family's 1533-position model. The record is from RNAcentral.